ACUCAAAUGAAUUGACGGGGGCCCGCACAAGCGGUGGAACAUGUGGUUUAAUUCGACGCAACGCGAAGAACCUUACCUGGGCUUGAACUACUCGUGGUAGUUCGCUGGAAACAGUGGACGACCCGCAAGGGAGCGAGCAGAGGUGCUGCAUGGUUGUCGUCAGCUCGUGUCGUGAGAUGUUGGGUUAAGUCCCGCAACGAGCGCAACCCCUAUCCAAUGUUGCUACUCCCGCAAGGGAGGCACUCUUUGGAAACUGCCUUCGAUAAGAAGGAGGAAGGUGGGGACGACGUCAAAUCCUCAUGGCCCUUAUGUCCAGGGCUACACACGUGUUACAAUGGCCGGUACAAUGGGAAGCAAUACCGCAAGGUGGAGCCAAACCCCUAAAGCCGGCCCCAGUUCAGAUUGUGGGCUGCAACUCGCCCACAUGAAGGCGGAAUCGCUAGUAAUCGCUGAUCAGCAGGCAGCGGUGAAUACGUUCCCGGGCCUUGUACACACCGCCCGU
Molecule: ribosomal RNA, 502 nt
Filed under: uncultured bacterium
Lineage: Bacteria
Description: partial 16S ribosomal RNA
Rfam family: Bacterial small subunit ribosomal RNA
Source: RNAcentral